Molecule: long non-coding RNA, 633 nt
Filed under: Pongo abelii (Sumatran orangutan)
Lineage: Eukaryota; Metazoa; Chordata; Mammalia; Primates; Hominidae
Description: lincRNA
Source: RNAcentral
AAUGCAGGUCGGGUGAAGAAGAGCAGGAUGUUUCAUUUUUGUCAAGCGUCACCUGAUUCAAAAUGUAGCCACUGAAAAGAAGCAAUCGUUUUUGACCUGCGUCUCUGAGGAUAAGACAGUGCAUGGGUGAUGGAUGCAGCCCAGAUCAGCUAUGAAAAUACCCAGCCGGCCUGCAGCCCUCCCGGCAGAUGCUGAAAAGGAAACCCGACUGGGGGAUGCCUGGUCCCCCAGAGAGCUGCGUUGUUUCCUCCCACCGAGGCCUUUGGAUCCGGCCACAGCAAGCAUCCCUGGGCACCUGGCUGAAGCUGGAAACUCGGGAUAAGAAUAGAAGCCCUGGAAGGGAAGAAGAACCGAGGAGAGAACAGCACAUUGCACUCUCACCUCCUUUGCAGUUAAGUGUGAAAUAGUGCCAAUAGAGUGUGAAAGAAAAGAAAGAAGAUGGUUCACCUCCCAAAGAAGGGGAUUCCCCACUGCUGUGUCCCUUCUAUCAACUUGAUACAAAAAAACACAAUGGCCCCGGGAACCACGUGUUGAAGAUGAGAGAGCUAAAAGACGGAAAGAGACUGGAGCCUUGAGUCACCACCUGGAGGAAAACUACCCACCCAUCAGGAAUUUCUACUACACAUUUGGGAG